GCUAACCAUGCAGUCGACGGUGUCUUCGGACACAGUGGCGGACGGGUGAGUAACGCGUGAGAAUCUACCUUCAGGUCGGGGAUAACCCCUGGAAACGGGGGCUAAUACCGGAUAGGUCGAAAGAUGAAAGGUUAACUGCCGGAAGAGGAGCUCGCGUCUGAUUAGCUAGUAGGUGUGGUAAGAGCGCACCUAGGCGACGAUCAGUAGCUGGUCUGAGAGGAUGAGCAGCCACACUGGGACUGAGACACGGCCCAGACUCCUACGGGAGGCAACAGUGGGGAAUUUUCCGCAAUGGGCGAAAGCCUGACGGAGCAAGACCGCGUGGGGGAGGAAGGCCUUUGGGUUGUAAACCCCUUUUGUUAGGGAAGAAAAAAAUGACGGUACCUAACGAAUCAGCCUCGGCUAACUCCGUGCCAGCAGCCGCGGUAAUACGGAGGAGGCAAGCGUUAUCCGGAAUUAUUGGGCGUAAAGCGUCCGUAGGUGGCCCGGCAAGUCUGCUGUCAAAGACCACAGCUCAACUGUGGAAAGGCAGUGGAAACUGCAAGGCUAGAGUGCGGUAGGGGUAGAGGGAAUUCCCAGUGUAGCGGUGAAAUGCGUAAAGAUUGGGAAGAACACCGGUGGCGAAAGCGCUCUACUGGGCCGCAACUGACACUGAUGGACGAAAGCUAGGGGAGCGAAUGGGAUUAGAUACCCCAGUAGUCCUAGCUGUAAACGAUGGAAACUAGGUGUAGCACGUAUCGACCCGUGCUGUAUCGGAGCUAACGCGUUAAGUUUCCCGCCUGGGGAGUACGCACGCAAGUGUGAAACUCAAAGGAAUUGACGGGGGCCCGCACAAGCGGUGGAGUAUGUGGUUUAAUUCGAUGCAACGCGAAGAACCUUACCAGGGCUUGACAUGUCCGGAACCUCUGUGAAAGCAGAGGGUGCCUUCGGGAGCCGGAACACAGGUGGUGCAUGGCUGUCGUCAGCUCGUGUCGUGAGAUGUUGGGUUAAGUCCCGCAACGAGCGCAACCCUCGUCCUUAGUUGCCAGCAUUUUGGAUGGGCACUCUAGGGAGACUGCCGGUGACAAACCGGAGGAAGGUGGGGAUGACGUCAAGUCAGCAUGCCCCCUACGUCCUGGGCGACACACGUACUACAAUGCUGUGGACAAAGAGCAGCCAACCCGCGAGGGCGAGCUAAUCUCAUAAACCACGGCUCAGUUCAGAUCGCAGGCUGCAACUCGCGUGCGUGAAGGCGGAAUCGCUAGUAAUCGCCGGUCAGCAUACGGCGGUGAAUCCGUUCCCGGGCCUUGUACACACCGCCCGUCACACCAUGGGAGCUGGCCACGCCUCGAAGUCGUUACUCCAACCGUUCGCGGAGGAGGACGCC
This 1366-nucleotide ribosomal RNA is filed under the name Desertifilum tharense P11. RNAcentral's name for it is "bacterial SSU rRNA". It matches the Rfam family "Bacterial small subunit ribosomal RNA". The record is from RNAcentral. Lineage: Bacteria; Bacillati; Cyanobacteriota; Cyanophyceae; Desertifilales; Desertifilaceae.